GGAGUAUGGGCCGUGUCUCAGUCCCAUUGUGGCUGAUCAUCCUCUCAAACCAGCUACUGAUCGUCGCCUUGGUGGUCCAUUACACCCCCAACUAGCUAAUCAGAUGCAGACUCAUCCCAGAGCACCGGAGUUUUCAAGAAUACCAUUCCAGGUACGCUCAUAUGGGGUAUUAAUCACCGUUUCCAAUGGCUAUCCCCCACUCUAGGGCAGAUUCUCUACACAUUACUCACCCGUCCGCCACUUUCCAUUACCCGAAGGUAACUUCUCGUUCGACUUGCAUGUAUGAAGCACGCCGCCAGCGUUCGUC
Molecule: ribosomal RNA, 307 nt
Filed under: uncultured cyanobacterium
Lineage: Bacteria; Bacillati; Cyanobacteriota
Description: partial 16S ribosomal RNA
Source: RNAcentral